RNAcentral lists this long non-coding RNA (283 nucleotides) under Nicotiana benthamiana. RNAcentral's name for it is "long non-coding RNA (NBEN_LNC033338)". The record is from RNAcentral. Lineage: Eukaryota; Viridiplantae; Streptophyta; Magnoliopsida; Solanales; Solanaceae.
UCGCUUCUCGCAUCUUCUCAUCCACCGGGGCCAACCCCACCUUCUUUCGAAUAACUUCAUUCUUAAUCUUAUCUAACCUGGUGAGCCCGCACAUCCACCUGAGCAUCCUCAUCUCCGCAACCUUCAUUCUCUGAACAUGAGAGCUCUUCACUGGUCAUCACUCCGCCUCAUACAACAUUGCAGGUCUAACCACAGUUCUAUAAAAUUUCCCCUUGAGUGUAUGUGGAACUUUCUUGUCACACAGGACUCCUGAUGCAAGCCUCCACUUUGACCACCCCGCUCA